AUGCAAACCGGCGACGCCAAGGAUGAUGAAGUUGUUAUUACUGGCAUUGGCCAUACAAAACCAAGCAAUCCUGUCGCUUUGUCUAAACAUACUGCCAAGGAAGAAUUUGCUGCCUUUGGCAAGGGCAAGUGGAAUGUUGAUCUGGCGACUUAUGCUGCUCUGAACGCCCAAGACAUCCAUUCCGGCUAUCUGAACUGGCUGUAUACCAGUCGUGACUAUGAAGCUGGUCUGGUUAACAUGAUGAAAGAUAAAUAUGAGGUUGAGCUGAAGACAAAAGAAACCCAAGUCGCCAAUCUCCAAGAAAAUCUGAAGUCCCAACAAGCUGAAACCUCCAAAGCAAAAGAGGAGUUAACCAGCGCUUUAUGCGCCAUGGAACAGCUUAAGGAGGGCUUCAAGAAAGAGCGGGCGGAUUGGGCCACUGAAAAAUCCGCUUUAACCAAACGAGCAGAAGAUGCCGAGGCUGCACUUAAACCGCUGGUGGACGAACUGGCCAGCAUAAAGCGGCAUGUGCAUGCCAUGACCACUGCUAUAUCUUUGGGACACGCAUUGGCCAUUUGGGGUCAGAUGUGCGGAAGAAAUUGA
This 582-nucleotide ribosomal RNA is filed under the name Triticum aestivum (bread wheat). RNAcentral describes it as "partial small subunit ribosomal RNA". Lineage: Eukaryota; Viridiplantae; Streptophyta; Magnoliopsida; Poales; Poaceae. The record is from RNAcentral.